UACACAGAACACCGAUUGCGAAGGCAGCUUACUAAACUGACACUGACGCUGAUGCACGAAAGCGUGGGGAUCGAACAGGAUUAGAUACCCUGGUAGUCCACGCCGUAAACGAUGAUCACUCGCUAUAUGCGAUACACAGUAUGCGGCCAAGCGAAAGCAUUAAGUGAUCCACCUGGGGAGUACGAUCGCAAGGUUGAAACUCAAAGGAAUUGACGGGGGCCCGCACAAGCGGAGGAACUGUGGUUUAAUUCGAUGAUACGCGAGGAACCUUACCUGGGCUUAAAUGGGGAACGACAGCUGCCGAAAGGUGGCCUUCUUCGGACGUUCUUCAAGGUGCUGCAUGGUUGUCGUCGGCUCGUGCCGUGAGGUGUCGGGUUAAGUCCCAUAACGAGCGCAACCCUUAUCGUUAGUUGCCAGCGGGUCAAGCCGGGGACUCUAGCGAGACUGCCACCGUAAGGUGAGAGGAAGGUGGGGAUGACGUCAAAUCAGCACGGCCCUUAUGUCCAGGGCUACACACGUGUUACAAUGGCCAGUACAAAGGGCAGCUACCAGGUGACAGGAUGCUAAUCUUAAAAGCUGGUCUCAGUUCGGAUCGAAGUCUGCAACCCGACUUCGUGAAGCUGGAUUCGCUAGUAAUCGCGCAUCAGCCAUGGCGCGGUGAAUACGUUCCCGGGCCUUGUACACACCGCCCGUCAAACAAUGGAAGCUGGGGGUACCUGAAGUGCGUGACCGCAAGGAGCGUCCUAGGGCAAAACCGAUAACUGGGGCUAAGUCGUAACAAGGUAACCAAG
This 791-nucleotide ribosomal RNA is filed under the name uncultured bacterium. RNAcentral's name for it is "bacterial SSU rRNA". It matches the Rfam family "Bacterial small subunit ribosomal RNA", at positions 698 to 1504 of the family's 1533-position model. The record is from RNAcentral.